CGGCGUACGGGUGCGUAACACGUGUGCAACCUGCCUUUAUCCGGGGGAUAGCCUUUCGAAAGGAAGAUUAAUACUCCAUAAUAUAUUGAACGGCAUCGUUUAAUAUUGAAAGCUCCGGCGGAUAGAGAUGGGCACGCGCAAGAUUAGCUAGUUGGUGAGGUAACGGCUCACCAAGGCGAUGAUCUUUAGGGGGCCUGAGAGGGUGAUCCCCCACACUGGUACUGAGACACGGACCAG
RNAcentral lists this ribosomal RNA (237 nucleotides) under uncultured bacterium. Its description in RNAcentral is "partial 16S ribosomal RNA". It matches the Rfam family "Bacterial small subunit ribosomal RNA", at positions 96 to 334 of the family's 1533-position model. The record is from RNAcentral.